UUAAUUGAGAGUUUGAUCCUGGCUCAGAACUAACGUUGGUGGUAUGCCUAACACAUGCAAGUCGAACGGUCAAUAUUAACAAAGGAGAUAGCUUGCUAUUUCCGGAGUUGAUUUUGAUAGUGGCGAACGGGUGAGUAAUAAAUAGGUAAUCUACCCUUAAAUUGGGGAUAACACCUCGAAAGAGGUGCUAAUACCGGAUAAUACAAUGAGAUCGCAUGGUUUUAUUGUUAAAGGUGACCUCUGCUUGCAAGUUAUCGUUUAAGGAUGAGCUUAUUUCCUAUUAGUUUGUUGGUAAGGUAAUGGCUUACCAAGACUUUGAUGGGUAGCCGGCCUGAGAGGGUGAACGGCCACACUGGGAUUGAGAUACGGCCCAAACUCCUACGGGAGGCAGCAGUGAGGAAUUUUGCGCAAUGGGGGAAACCCUGACGCAGCAAUACCACGUGGGUGAUGAAGGUCUUCGGAUUGUAAAGCCCUGUCAAAUGGAAAGAAAAGCUUGAGGUUAACACCCUCAAGACUUGACGGUACUAUUAGAGGAAGUCUCGGCUAACUACGUGCCAGCAGCCGCGGUAAUACGUAUGAGGCUAACGUUGUUCGGAUUUACUGGGCGUAAAGGGUGUGUAGGCGGUUUAGUAAGUCUGAUGUGGAAUCUAGAAGCUUAACUUCUAUACGUCAUCAGAAACUACUUAACUUGAGUACAGGAGGGGAGAGUGGAAUUCCAGGUGUAGCGGUGAAAUGCUUAGAUAUCUGGAGGAACACCAGUGGUGAAGACGGCUCUCUGGACUGUAACUGACGCUGAAACACGAAAGCAUGGGGAGCAAACGGGAUUAGAUACCCCGGUAGUCCAUGCUGUAAACGAUGGAUAUUAGGUGUAGGAGAUACGAAAUUUUCUGUGCCGAAGUUAACACAUUAAAUAUCCCGCCUGGGGAGUAUGACCGCAAGGUUGAAACUCAAAGGAAUUGACGGGGGCCUGCACAAGCGGUGGAGCAUGUGGUUUAAUUCGACGCAACGCGAAGAACCUUACCGGGGUUUGACAUGCUUUUGAAAGCUUAUAGAAAUGUAAGUCCUCCAGCAAUGGACAAAAGCACAGGUGUUGCAUGGCUGUCGUCAGCUCGUGUCGUGAGAUGUUGGGUUAAGUCCCGCAACGAACGCAACCCUUAUCUAUUGUUGCCAGUGGGUAAUGCCAGGCACUCUAUAGAGACUGCCAGUGUUGAACUGGAGGAAGGUGGGGAUGACGUCAAGUCCUCAUGGCCCUUAUGUCCCGGGCUACACACGUGCUACAAUGGUCUGUACAGAGGGCAACGAACCCGCGAGGGGGAGUAAAUCCCAGAAAGCAGAUCUCAGUUCGGAUUGUAGGCUGCAACUCGCCUACAUGAAGUCGGAAUCGCUAGUAACCGCGAAUCAGCAGGUCGCGGUGAAUACGUUCCCAGGCCUUGUACACACCGCCCGUCACACUACCUGAAUUGAAUGUACCCGAAGUUGUUGUUCUAACCUGUAAAGGAAGAAGGCAUCGAAGGUAUGUUUAGUAAAGAGAGUGAAGUCGUAACAAGGUAGCCGUAUCGGAAGGUGCGGCUGGAUCACCUCCUUU
This 1585-nucleotide ribosomal RNA is filed under the name bacterium. RNAcentral's name for it is "bacterial SSU rRNA". It matches the Rfam family "Bacterial small subunit ribosomal RNA". The record is from RNAcentral.